Molecule: ribosomal RNA, 407 nt
Filed under: uncultured bacterium
Lineage: Bacteria
Description: partial 16S ribosomal RNA
Rfam family: Bacterial small subunit ribosomal RNA
Source: RNAcentral
AUUGAACGCUGGCGGCAUGCCUAACACAUGCAAGUCGAGCGGAGCGGCGGACGGGUGAGUAAUGCCUAGGACUCUGCCUGGUAGUGGGGGAUAACGUCCGGACGCGGGCCCUAAUACCGCAUAAUAUCAGCUUAGCCUGGGUCGGAUUUGCUCGUUGGUGGGGGAAAGGCCUACCAUGGCGACGGACCGUAACUGGUCUGAGAGGAUGAUCAGUCACACUGGAACUGAGACACGGCGCAGACUCCUACGGGAGGCAGCAGUGGGGAAUAUUGGACAAUGGGCGCAAGCCUGAUCCAGCCACGCCGCGUGGGUGAAGAAGGUCUUCGGAUUGUAAAGCACUUUAAGUUGGGAGGCGUGACCAACAGAAUAAGCACCGGCUAACUUCGUGCCAGCAGCCGCGGUAAUAC